UGGGGAAUAUUGCACAAUGGAGGGAACUCUGAUGCAGCGACGCCGCGUGUGUGAUGAAGGAAUUCGUUUCGUAAAACUCUGUUCUAUGGGAAGAAAAGGACUGUACCAUAGGAGAAAGCUCCGGCUAAAUACGUGCCAGCAGCCGCGGUAAUACGUAUGGAGCGAGCGUUGUCCGGAAUUAUUGGGCGUAAAGGGUGCGCAGGCGGCUUUACAAGUUGGAUGUGAAAUAUUGUGGCUCAACCACAAACGUGCAUCCAAAACUGCAAAGCUUGAGUUAAGGAGAGGUAAGUGGAAUUCCUGGUGUAGCGGUGGAAUGCGUAGAUAUCAGGAGGAAUACCGGUGGCGAAGGCGACUUACUGGACUUAAACUGACGCUCAGGCACGAAAGCGUGGGGAGCAAACAGG
RNAcentral lists this ribosomal RNA (404 nucleotides) under Fusobacteriota bacterium. RNAcentral's name for it is "Fusobacteria bacterium partial 16S ribosomal RNA". It matches the Rfam family "Bacterial small subunit ribosomal RNA", at positions 355 to 776 of the family's 1533-position model. Lineage: Bacteria; Fusobacteriati; Fusobacteriota. The record is from RNAcentral.